CAUGAAAUGAAAUGGUCCACUACAGGUGAACACAGCCAACAGGUGAACUAAUGAUGUUCAAGCUCAAAACAACUUUAUGAAAAAUCGCCAGAAGACCACGUGGAAGGCAGCAGCAGGACUUGUUUGAACUUCAGGUGUGUGGUCAUUAGCUGAUACCAGCUAACGUGUCCAUUGCUCGUAAAACGGUUAGCUAGCUAAGUGCUAGAAGGACAAAUACAAAAACUCGACAUGGAAGGCCGGCUAUGGAGCUCACAUUUACCGGUAUUUCUCCUGGAGUCACAUGUUGACAGAGAGAUUAGACUCCUGGCUGAGCGACUGACCAGCACUGCUGCAGAUGGGACGACUACACUGGGAGUACAGAAAUUCUGUGAAGCAAAACGGCAGAUGACUCAUCGCAGAUGUUGCUUCGGAGCUUCUUGAGAUUCAGAAGUGGAAACCCAGAGCCCUCCUUUUUGUGCGCUGCCAUCUAAUUCACAUCCUGUCCAUUUGUAAGCAACCAAACAUGCCAUGACGAUUUAUGCAGCUGACACAUGGCAACCAUUAAUCAGGUAUUCGCCUGCGACUGGGAGUGGUGAUAAGGCCAAUGGUUGAGGGAUGAAUGCUGGUAGGGAUGAAAGGACAUUAAAUUUUUUCUC
Molecule: long non-coding RNA, 635 nt
Organism: Epinephelus lanceolatus (giant grouper)
Lineage: Eukaryota; Metazoa; Chordata; Actinopteri; Perciformes; Serranidae
Source: RefSeq, a predicted model, not a curated record